UACGGAGGGGCUAGCGUUGUCCGGAAUUAUUGGGCGUAAAGAGCUCGUAGGCGGUGUGUCACGUCGUUCGUGAAAACCUGCAGCUUAACUGUGGGCGUGCGGUCGAUACGGGCAUCACUGGAGUUCGGCAGGGGAGACUGGAAUUCCUGGUGUAGCGGUGAAAUGCGCAGAUAUCAGGAGGAACACCGGUGGCGAAGGCGGGUCUCUGGGCCGAUACUGACGCUGAGGAGCGAAAGCGUGGGGAGCGAACAGG
Molecule: ribosomal RNA, 253 nt
Filed under: uncultured bacterium
Lineage: Bacteria
Description: partial 16S ribosomal RNA
Rfam family: Bacterial small subunit ribosomal RNA
Source: RNAcentral